Molecule: ribosomal RNA, 1244 nt
Filed under: metagenome
Description: bacterial LSU rRNA
Rfam family: Bacterial large subunit ribosomal RNA
Source: RNAcentral
UGAGUACGAGAUGCUACGGCAUCGAAGCAGUCUAUGUCAUACUUCCAAGAAAAGCUUGCACUGUCAGAAACAGAUAAUGCCUGUACCAUAACCGACACAGGUGGGUAGGUAGAGUAUACUAAGGGGCGCGAGAUAACUCUCUCUAAGGAACUCGGCAAAAUGACUCCGUAACUUCGGGAGAAGGAGUGCCUUAUUUUUAAGGUUGCAAUAACAAGAUCCAAGCAACUGUUUACCAAAAACACAGGUCUCCGCUAAGUCGUAAGACGAUGUAUGGGGGCUGACGCCUGCCCAGUGCCAGAAGGUUAAAGAAGUCGGUUAGCAUUCGCGAAGCUGGUAACUGAAGCCCUGGUGAACGGCGGCCGUAACAAUAACGGUCCUAAGGUAGCGAAAUUCCUCGUCGGGUAAGUUCCGACCCGCACGAAAGGCGUAAUGAUUUGGAUACUGUCUCGGAGAGGGGCUCGGUGAAAUAGACUUGUCUGUGAAGAUGCGGACUACCUGCACCUGGACAGAAAGACCCUAUGAAGCUUUACUGUAACUUGAAAUUGAAAUUGGACUUUAUUUGCGCAGUAUAGGUGGGAGGCGUUGAAAAUAUUCUUGCGGGAAUAUUGGAGCCAUCAGUGAGAUACCACUCUUGUAAUGUUAGAUUUCUAACUUUAUAUCAUUAUCUGGUUAAAGAACAGUUUCAGGCGGGCAGUUUGACUGGGGCGGUCGCCUCCCAAAUGGUAACGGAGGCGCACAAAGGUUUCCUCUGAACGGGUAGAAAUCGUAUCUAGAGUGUAAAGGCAUAAGGAAGCUUGACUGUGAGACCUACAAGUCGAGCAGGGACGAAAGUCGGUCUUAGUGAUCUGACGGUGCUGAGUGGAAAGGCCGUCACUCAACGGAUAAAAGUUACUCUAGGAUAACAGGCUGAUCUCCCCCAAGAGUUCACAUCGACGGGGAGGUUUGGCACCUCGAUGUCGGCUCAUCGCAUCCUGGGGCGGUAGUACGUCCCAAGGGUUGGGCUGUUCGCCCAUGAAAGCGGUACGCGAGCUGGGUUCAGAACGUCGUGAGACAGUUCGGUCCAUAUCCGGUGUAGGCGUUAGAAUAUUGAGAGGAGCCUUCUUUAGUACGAGAGGACCGAGAAGGACAUACCUCUGGUGUACCAGUUAUCGUGCCAACGGUAAACGCUGGGUAGCUAUGUAUGGAGUGGAUAACCGCUGAAAGCAUCUAAGUGGGAAGCCCACCUCAAGAUAAGUAUUCUCAUC